Long non-coding RNA from Phoenix dactylifera (date palm), 545 nucleotides. RefSeq lists it as uncharacterized. Lineage: Eukaryota; Viridiplantae; Streptophyta; Magnoliopsida; Arecales; Arecaceae. The record is from RefSeq and is a predicted model, not a curated record.
UCGUAUAAAAGGAGGGUGGCCGUGGUUUCCUCAAGAUUCCAGACUGAUAUCAUUUCACAUGGUGGAAAAAUGCGAAUGCUUCCAAGAGGACCAAGACCUCUAUAGAGUCUAUGUCUAUUAUAUAUAAAUUCUUGCGAGUUGGAAGCCAGCGGCCAAGAAAAGAGACAUGGGAUCACAAAAGGCUCCCUCCUUCUUCUUGCUACUGCUCUUCUUCUUUUCAAUCCAUCUUCACAGCUCCGGGGUUGCAGAAGCCAGGCCGCUUCCUCUUCCCUUGGUGAAACAAGAGAGGUAUGUCAAAACGCUGGAGUCGCUGGGCCUCGUCUGCCAGUGCUGUGACGGACUGGGAGGCGAAUGCACGAGCACCUGGGAAUCCGCUUGUGUCAAACUGGAUUGCCAUCCCUGGAAAUCCGUGUGAUUUUGGCAUCGCAUCGGAAUUUUGAUCUCGUGGCCUUGUAAAUAACCUUCAGAAAAGAGUUGGUUCUUGAAGCACCAAACUAUGCUGUGUAAAUAUAUCUUCGACUAUAGCCUAUCUCGAUAGCAAAUGA